RNAcentral lists this ribosomal RNA (554 nucleotides) under Eikenella corrodens. RNAcentral describes it as "bacterial SSU rRNA". It matches the Rfam family "Bacterial small subunit ribosomal RNA", at positions 35 to 578 of the family's 1533-position model. Lineage: Bacteria; Pseudomonadati; Pseudomonadota; Betaproteobacteria; Neisseriales; Neisseriaceae. The record is from RNAcentral.
GCUGGCGGCAUGCUUUACACAUGCAAGUCGAACGGCAGCGGGGUAGUGCUUGCACUACUGCCGGCGAGUGGCGAACGGGUGAGUAAUAUAUCGGAACGUACCGAGUAAUGGGGGAUAACCAAUCGAAAGAUUGGCUAAUACCGCAUACGUCCUAAGGGAGAAAGCGGGGGAUCGCAAGACCUCGCGUUAUUCGAGCGGCCGAUAACUGAUUAGCUAGUUGGUGGGGUAAAGGCCUACCAAGGCGACGAUCAGUAGCGGGUCUGAGAGGACGAUCCGCCACACUGGGACUGAGACACGGCCCAGACUCCUACGGGAGGCAGCAGUGGGGAAUUUUGGACAAUGGGGGCAACCCUGAUCCAGCCAUGCCGCGUGUAUGAAGAAGGCCUUCGGGUUGUAAAGUACUUUUGUUAGGGAAGAAAAGGGAAGUGCUAAUACCACUUUUUGCUGACGGUACCUAAAGAAUAAGCACCGGCUAACUACGUGCCAGCAGCCGCGGUAAUACGUAGGGUGCGAGCGUUAAUCGGAAUUACUGGGCGUAAAGCGAGCGCAGACGG